CAGCCGCCACGGGAAUACGAAGGGUGCAAGCGUUAAUCGGAAUUACUGGGCGUAAAGCGCGCGUAGGUGGUUUGGUAAGAUGGAUGUGAAAUCCCCGGGCUCAACCUGGGAACUGCAUCCAUAACUGCCUGACUAGAGUACGGUAGAGGGUGGUGGAAUUUCCUGUGUAGCGGUGAAAUGCGUAGAUAUAGGAAGGAACACCAGUGGCGAAGGCGACCACCUGGACUGAUACUGACACUGAGGUGCGAAAGCGUGGGGAGCAAACAGGAUUAGAGACCCCGGUAGUCCCUGUCUCUUAUAC
RNAcentral lists this ribosomal RNA (301 nucleotides) under uncultured bacterium. RNAcentral describes it as "partial 16S ribosomal RNA". It matches the Rfam family "Bacterial small subunit ribosomal RNA", at positions 509 to 807 of the family's 1533-position model. The record is from RNAcentral.